GUUUCUGUAGUGUAGUGGUUAUCACGUUCGCCUUACACGCGAAAGGUCCCCGGAUCGAGACCAGGCAGAAACA
RNAcentral lists this transfer RNA (73 nucleotides) under Dallia pectoralis (Alaska blackfish). RNAcentral describes it as "tRNA-OTHER". It matches the Rfam family "tRNA". From Rfam's summary of the family: Transfer RNA (tRNA) molecules are approximately 80 nucleotides in length. Their secondary structure includes four short double-helical elements and three loops (D, anti-codon, and T loops). Lineage: Eukaryota; Metazoa; Chordata; Actinopteri; Esociformes; Umbridae. The record is from RNAcentral.